UUCGCCAGGGAACAACGAGCCCCAGCUUAAAACCCAAAGGACUUGGCGGUGCUUUAGACCCCCCUAGAGGAGCCUGUUCUAGAACCGAUACUCCCCGUUAAACCUCACCCUUUCUUGUUUAUCCCGCCUAUAUACCGCCGUCGUCAGCUUACCCUGUGAAGGUUUAAUAGUAAGCAAAAUUGGCAAAGCCUAAAACGUCAGGUCGAGGUGUAGCGAACGAAAGGGGAAGAAAUGGGCUACAUUUACUGUUUCAGUAAAUACGGAUUAUGCACUGAAAAAACAUUUAAAGGAGGAUUUAGCAGUAAGCGGGGAUUAGAGAGCCCCCCUGAAAAUGGCCCUGAAGCGCGCACACACCGCCCGUCACUCUCCCCAACAGAAAAUAUUUAUUAAAUAAAACAAUGCAAGUAACAAGGGGAGGCAAGUCGUAACAUGGUAAGUGUACCGGAAGGUGCACUUGGAAAAACA
This 465-nucleotide ribosomal RNA is filed under the name Favonigobius reichei (Indo-Pacific tropical sand goby). RNAcentral describes it as "partial 12S ribosomal RNA". It matches the Rfam family "Bacterial small subunit ribosomal RNA", at positions 868 to 1533 of the family's 1533-position model. The record is from RNAcentral. Lineage: Eukaryota; Metazoa; Chordata; Actinopteri; Gobiiformes; Gobiidae.